Molecule: ribosomal RNA, 433 nt
Filed under: uncultured bacterium
Lineage: Bacteria
Description: partial 16S ribosomal RNA
Rfam family: Bacterial small subunit ribosomal RNA
Source: RNAcentral
AACGAACGCUGGCGGCAUGCCUAACACAUGCCAGUCGAACGAGACCUUCGGGUCUAGUGGCGCACGGGUGCGUAACGCGUGGGAACCUGCCCUUAGGUUCGGAAUAACUCCCCGAAAGGGGUGCUAAUACCGGAUAAUUUCUUCGGACCAAAGAUUUAUCGCCUUUGGAUGGGCCCGCGUUGGAUUAGCUAGUUGGUAGGGUAAAAGCCUACCAAGGCGACGAUCCAUAGCUGGUCUGAGAGGAUGAUCAGCCACACUGGGACUGAGACACGGCCCAGACUCCUACGGGAGGCAGCAGUGGGGAAUAUUGGACAAUGGGCGAAAGCCUGAUCAAGCAAUGCCGCGUGAGUGAUGAAGGCCUUAGGGUUGUAAAGAUCUUUUACCCGGGAUGAUAAUGACAGUACCGGGAGAAUAAGCUCCGGCUAACUCCGUG